This 440-nucleotide ribosomal RNA is filed under the name uncultured bacterium. Its description in RNAcentral is "bacterial SSU rRNA". It matches the Rfam family "Bacterial small subunit ribosomal RNA", at positions 338 to 795 of the family's 1533-position model. The record is from RNAcentral.
CCUACGGGUUGCACCAGUGGGGAAUAUUGGACAAAGGGCGAAAGCCUGAUCCAGCAAUGCCGCGUGUGUGAAGAAGGUCUUCGGAUUGUAAAGCACUUUCGACGGGGACGAUGAUGACGGUACCCGUAGAAGAAGCCCCGGCUAACCUCGUGCCAGCAGCCGCGGUAAUACGAAGGGGGCUAGCGUUGCUCGGAAUGACUGGGCGUAAAGGACGCGUAGGCGGUUUAUGCAGUCAGAUGUGAAAUCCCCGGGCUUAACCUGGGAACUGCAUUUGAGACGCAUAGACUAGAGGUCGAGAGAGGGUUGUGGAAUUCCCAGUGUAGAGGUGAAAUUCGUAGAUAUUGGGAAGAACACCGGUGGCGAAGGCGGCAACCUGGCACGAUACUGACACUGAGGCGCGAAAGCGUGGGGAGCAAACAGGAUUAGAUACCCCAGUAGUC